GGCAUGAAUUACUCAACCAGUAAACAGAGCCCCAAACUGAUCUGAUAAAGGACACUGGGAAUUUGUACCUCUAUUCUCUCCCCCAGAGACUUUCUAGGAAAAAAAAUGAUGGGUCCCAGGUCCCCGAAUAGCUCCCCCAUCCCCUCAGAAGUGGCCACUAAGCACAUCUGCCUGUGGUUGGGUCUCCACAGCCUGUGGUGAGAAAAUGAGAGAUUCAAAUCCUGUUGCCUGCAAACCAUGAACUUCAAAGAAAGCUGGGUGUUUUAGUCCUUGAUAAUGAGAACAUUGUUGUGUUUGCCCACCGUGCAGAAAGACCUCCACCAAUUUCUUUUUUUCUUUUUUUUUUUUUCCCGGAGCUGGGGACCGAACCCAGGGCCUUGCGCUUGCUAGGCAAGGGCUCUACCGCUGAGCUAAAUCCCCAACCCCGACCUCCACCAAUUUCUGCUGGGAACUUUGAACAGGGGCCAGAGCACCCCGUCUCUGGGUAGGAGCUCUGGGGAGAAGCCCACAGACUGUCA
This 518-nucleotide long non-coding RNA is filed under the name Rattus norvegicus (Norway rat). RNAcentral describes it as "long non-coding RNA NONRATT011824". The record is from RNAcentral. Lineage: Eukaryota; Metazoa; Chordata; Mammalia; Rodentia; Muridae.